AGAUUAUAGGAUAAAAUUAAGCAAACUAAUUACUUAAGAAGGGCCUGUCACCACCCAAAAAUGAUUUUAUAAGUAGCUCGAUUGAGCGAAGAGCAUGCCCGGAGACACGUUGGUUCCGAAGAACACGCCCGACGACACGUUGUUGCGGUGAUCUUGGGAUCGGCCAGCUACUUUUUGAUAAUUUUCUCUAGCGUGAUAAUGUUAGAUGACCUCGUUUGGAUUUGUCUCGGCGUUAUAGGACAAAGACGAAGACAGAACUUGCCGCCAUCUGUGUUUCUUGGAAUCAAUGCUAAGGUGGGAAUGCGCGAUGGAGUAAAAACUGGAUUCCAACUUCAGAAGCAUUGCGGGUACGUGGCAGAGAGAAAGUGAGGGUUGCCUUCCGCAAGCGGCCAUGCGCAUUGCUCAGGAAAGCAGGUGCCAGAUGCCAGAUACAGCUUCUUUUGUUUCUGCAGGUCCCGGCUGCGAAGAUUGGCAAAGAAAAAGAAAGCUGGAAAGGAAUUCGGUUUAAUUGAAAUUACUGCGAUGGCUAACUCAAGGGGAGAGAAGGGAUUGUAAUGAAGUGACAACAGUAUCAUGUAGUGGGUUACAAUUUUUCAGUCAGGAAACGGAAACCUCUGGAGUAUCUUUAGAAGGAGCCCCUGAUAGGAGAACAGAUAAAGCUCCGCUGAGAUAGUUACAGCUAGUCUGCCCUUUCUGAAGGGUAUGUAUCUUGGUAGGGUUGGAUGGUUUUGUGAGAAACAACCCUAGGACUGGUUUUUGACUGUUUUGAGAUGUAUAUAAUGAAUAUAGUAACUCUGGUAUUGUGUUAGAUAAUACGUAGAGAUGUAUAUGAUUUUAUGUUUCCUGUUGCUUAGGCUUCCGUAUUAUAUCUCUGAUGUA
Long non-coding RNA from Malania oleifera, 879 nucleotides. RefSeq lists it as uncharacterized. Lineage: Eukaryota; Viridiplantae; Streptophyta; Magnoliopsida; Santalales; Ximeniaceae. The transcript has 3 exons. The record is from RefSeq and is a predicted model, not a curated record.